AUGUGACCUCAAAUCAGGUAGGACUACCCGCUGAACUUAAGCAUAUCAAUAAGCGGAGGAAAAGAAACUAACAAGGAUUCCCCUAGUAACUGCGAGUGAAGCGGGAAAAGCUCAAAUUUAAAAUCUGGCAGUCUUUUGGCUGUCCGAGUUGUAAUCUAGAGAAGUGUUAUCCGCG
Molecule: ribosomal RNA, 175 nt
Filed under: Cortinarius boulderensis
Lineage: Eukaryota; Fungi; Basidiomycota; Agaricomycetes; Agaricales; Cortinariaceae
Description: partial 28S ribosomal RNA
Rfam family: Eukaryotic large subunit ribosomal RNA
Source: RNAcentral